Molecule: ribosomal RNA, 2917 nt
Filed under: Bacillus cereus
Lineage: Bacteria; Bacillati; Bacillota; Bacilli; Caryophanales; Bacillaceae
Description: bacterial LSU rRNA
Rfam family: Bacterial large subunit ribosomal RNA
Source: RNAcentral
UAAGUUAGAAAGGGCGCACGGUGGAUGCCUUGACACUAGGAGUCGAUGAAGGACGGGACUAACGCCGAUAUGCUUCGGGGAGCUGUAAGUAAGCUUUGAUCCGAAGAUUUCCGAAUGGGGAAACCCACCAUACGUAAUGGUAUGGUAUCCUUAUCUGAAUACAUAGGGUAAGGAAGACAGACCCAGGGAACUGAAACAUCUAAGUACCUGGAGGAAGAGAAAGCAAAUGCGAUUUCCUGAGUAGCGGCGAGCGAAACGGAACAUAGCCCAAACCAAGAGGCUUGCCUCUUGGGGUUGUAGGACAUUCUAUACGGAGUUACAAAGGAACGAGGUAGACGAAGCGACCUGGAAAGGUCCGUCGUAGAGGGUAACAACCCCGUAGUCGAAACUUCGUUCUCUCUUGAAUGUAUCCUGAGUACGGCGGAACACGUGAAAUUCCGUCGGAAUCUGGGAGGACCAUCUCCCAAGGCUAAAUACUCCCUAGUGAUCGAUAGUGAACCAGUACCGUGAGGGAAAGGUGAAAAGCACCCCGGAAGGGGAGUGAAAGAGAUCCUGAAACCGUGUGCCUACAAAUAGUCAGAGCCCGUUAACGGGUGAUGGCGUGCCUUUUGUAGAAUGAACCGGCGAGUUACGAUCCCGUGCGAGGUUAAGCUGAAGAGGCGGAGCCGCAGCGAAAGCGAGUCUGAAUAGGGCGUUUAGUACGUGGUCGUAGACCCGAAACCAGGUGAUCUACCCAUGUCCAGGGUGAAGUUCAGGUAACACUGAAUGGAGGCCCGAACCCACGCACGUUGAAAAGUGCGGGGAUGAGGUGUGGGUAGCGGAGAAAUUCCAAUCGAACCUGGAGAUAGCUGGUUCUCCCCGAAAUAGCUUUAGGGCUAGCCUUAAGUGUAAGAGUCUUGGAGGUAGAGCACUGAUUGGACUAGGGGUCCUCAUCGGAUUACCGAAUUCAGUCAAACUCCGAAUGCCAAUGACUUAUCCUUAGGAGUCAGACUGCGAGUGAUAAGAUCCGUAGUCAAAGGGAAACAGCCCAGACCGCCAGCUAAGGUCCCAAAGUGUGUAUUAAGUGGAAAAGGAUGUGGAGUUGCUUAGACAACUAGGAUGUUGGCUUAGAAGCAGCCACCAUUUAAAGAGUGCGUAAUAGCUCACUAGUCGAGUGACUCUGCGCCGAAAAUGUACCGGGGCUAAAUACACCACCGAAGCUGCGGAUUGAUACCAAUGGUAUCAGUGGUAGGGGAGCGUUCUAAGGACAGUGAAGUCAGACCGGAAGGACUGGUGGAGUGCUUAGAAGUGAGAAUGCCGGUAUGAGUAGCGAAAGACGGGUGAGAAUCCCGUCCACCGAAUGCCUAAGGUUUCCUGAGGAAGGCUCGUCCGCUCAGGGUUAGUCAGGACCUAAGCCGAGGCCGACAGGCGUAGGCGAUGGACAACAGGUUGAUAUUCCUGUACCACCUCUUUAUCGUUUGAGCAAUGGAGGGACGCAGAAGGAUAGAAGAAGCGUGCGAUUGGUUGUGCACGUCCAAGCAGUUAGGCUGAUAAGUAGGCAAAUCCGCUUAUCGUGAAGGCUGAGCUGUGAUGGGGAAGCUCCUUAUGGAGCGAAGUCUUUGAUUCCCCGCUGCCAAGAAAAGCUUCUAGCGAGAUAAAAGGUGCCUGUACCGCAAACCGACACAGGUAGGCGAGGAGAGAAUCCUAAGGUGUGCGAGAGAACUCUGGUUAAGGAACUCGGCAAAAUGACCCCGUAACUUCGGGAGAAGGGGUGCUUUCUUAACGGAAAGCCGCAGUGAAUAGGCCCAAGCGACUGUUUAGCAAAAACACAGCUCUCUGCGAAGCCGUAAGGCGAAGUAUAGGGGGUGACACCUGCCCGGUGCUGGAAGGUUAAGGAGAGGGGUUAGCGUAAGCGAAGCUCUGAACUGAAGCCCCAGUAAACGGCGGCCGUAACUAUAACGGUCCUAAGGUAGCGAAAUUCCUUGUCGGGUAAGUUCCGACCCGCACGAAAGGUGUAACGAUUUGGGCACUGUCUCAACCAGAGACUCGGUGAAAUUAUAGUACCUGUGAAGAUGCAGGUUACCCGCGACAGGACGGAAAGACCCCGUGGAGCUUUACUGUAGCCUGAUAUUGAAUUUUGGUACAGUUUGUACAGGAUAGGCGGGAGCCUUUGAAACCGGAGCGCUAGCUUCGGUGGAGGCGCUGGUGGGAUACCGCCCUGACUGUAUUGAAAUUCUAACCUACGGGUCUUAUCGACCCGGGAGACAGUGUCAGGUGGGCAGUUUGACUGGGGCGGUCGCCUCCUAAAGUGUAACGGAGGCGCCCAAAGGUUCCCUCAGAAUGGUUGGAAAUCAUUCGUAGAGUGCAAAGGCAUAAGGGAGCUUGACUGCGAGACCUACAAGUCGAGCAGGGACGAAAGUCGGGCUUAGUGAUCCGGUGGUUCCGCAUGGAAGGGCCAUCGCUCAACGGAUAAAAGCUACCCCGGGGAUAACAGGCUUAUCUCCCCCAAGAGUCCACAUCGACGGGGAGGUUUGGCACCUCGAUGUCGGCUCAUCGCAUCCUGGGGCUGUAGUCGGUCCCAAGGGUUGGGCUGUUCGCCCAUUAAAGCGGUACGCGAGCUGGGUUCAGAACGUCGUGAGACAGUUCGGUCCCUAUCCGUCGUGGGCGUAGGAAAUUUGAGAGGAGCUGUCCUUAGUACGAGAGGACCGGGAUGGACGCACCGCUGGUGUACCAGUUGUUCUGCCAAGGGCAUAGCUGGGUAGCUAUGUGCGGAAGGGAUAAGUGCUGAAAGCAUCUAAGCAUGAAGCCCCCCUCAAGAUGAGAUUUCCCAUAGCGUAAGCUAGUAAGAUCCCUGAAAGAUGAUCAGGUUGAUAGGUUCGAGGUGGAAGCAUGGUGACAUGUGGAGCUGACGAAUACUAAUAGAUCGAGGACUUAACCA